UACGUAGGGGGCAAGCGUUGUCCGGAAUCAUUGGGCGUAAAGAGCGUGUAGGCGGUUCGGUAAGUCGGCUGUGAAAGUCCAGGGCUCAACCCUGGGAUGCCGGUCGAUACUGCCGGACUAGAGUUCGGAAGAGGCGAGUGGAAUUCCCGGUGUAGCGGUGAAAUGCGCAGAUAUCGGGAGGAACACCUAUGGCGAAGGCAGCUCGCUGGGACGUUACUGACGCUGAGACGUGAAAGCGUGGGGAGCAAACAGG
This 253-nucleotide ribosomal RNA is filed under the name uncultured bacterium. RNAcentral describes it as "partial 16S ribosomal RNA". It matches the Rfam family "Bacterial small subunit ribosomal RNA", at positions 524 to 776 of the family's 1533-position model. The record is from RNAcentral.